Molecule: long non-coding RNA, 4077 nt
Organism: Homo sapiens (human)
Lineage: Eukaryota; Metazoa; Chordata; Mammalia; Primates; Hominidae
Gene: SOX2-OT
Product: SOX2 overlapping transcript
Source: Ensembl
AAAGAAAGAAAGAAAGAAAAAAAAAGAAAAGAAAAAAAAGAGAACCACAGCUUUGGACAAAAGUCUAUAGCCAGUGCAUUUGAAAACUCCCCUUGCACCAGGGCUGACUGUAGCUGGGGGAAGACAUUUUACUCAUUUGCUCUUUCCUUUCAUACAGUCAGCUGGUCCCUCUUCUCAGGUGUAGAUCACCUAUUAUAAUUUUACCUAAUUUUGAUACUCUGAUAAGGAAAGUCCCAGGACUUAUCAGCUGGGAUAGGCCUCACUUACAAGACAGCUCUGUUCAGUAUUUGGAAGAAAGAAAGCCUGACAGGUUUCUUCGGAAAAGUGGCCAUCCAUGGAAUGAAUGAAAUGUUCUCUUUCUAUUCCAGGGAUUGCAGUGGCAAAGCUAGGCUAGGUCUUGGAGGCUGGUGUAAGGCGAUGUGGGUGAAGGCAGGAGGCUGAUGGAAAGACUGGGGGGAAGAAAAGCCGAAAUGGAUUCACGGUGCCUUGGAUGAAGGACGAGAGGGGAACUGCAAGCUCCUUCAACUGGUUCUGUCCGGUGAGAAGUGAUCAAGCUUGGGCUGACAAGAGGCUCAGGGAGCCCUCACGUUCUUUCGCUUUUUUACCUGCCAAUCAAACUGCUACAAGACAACACCCUGAUCUGGCAUGGACAUCGCGGGUCCAAGCCUGUAGCCCCAAAUCGGAUAAUCUCUGCAGCUGAUAACAAGCAAAAGAGAAGCCAGGCAACAGCCAUAUUAAAGAAGAAAACAAUCAACUCUGAGAUCCAACUUAGAAAUAAUGUUUCAUUCAAGAUAAGGCUCGUGGCUUAGGAGAUUGUGACCUGGCUUGCAUCAUUCUAAGACUUCUAUCGUCUGUUUUCAAAACCCAAGGAGGACCUCCUUUUCUGUGUGAUAGUUCCUCAUGCUUUGCCAGCCACUGGGUCUUUAAGGAAGCUUGCCAAGAGUUCCCGGCUGGGAAGGACAGUUCGAGUUCAUCAUAGACAAUGAGCUGGCACCACAGUUUAAGUGACUCACCAACCUGGUUGCCCACUUCAAAAUGUCAAGAACCACACUAUCUAAUUGAAAGAACUGUGUUUUAGCAAAGUGUAAUUGGAUCGCCUGGCAAGAUCAUCUCAAACUAUGUCUCUGACCUUGCCUUUCAGUGGCUAUUUUGAGCACAAGAGGAGAAAGGAAAUGAUUCCUGAAUUAUAUCUUGUUUUUAAAAAUUAAGAUUAAUUAAUACUUGGUUUUAUGUUCAUUCCAUUGUAGGAACUUAGUGAUUAUUACAAAACAGUCAAAAUAGGUCAUAGCAAAAUGAACGUUUAAGAUUAGGUUAAAACAUUCCUCUGAAAUUUUAGUAUUCACUUUUGAAGUGUCAAUUACUAUAUUUCUGUAAUUUCUCAUUUUUUUCUUGGCUUAGAGUCAAGAUGAAAAAUGAUAUUUGAAUCAAAGACAUUGUUUUGUUAUAUAGCCACUCCUUUCUAAAAUGCAAAUCCACCCUCCCCUCACCAAUGCUUUAUUCUUUGUGCGCGCACACACACACACACACACACACACACACACACACACACACAGACAUACACAGAACCAGCACCCAAAUGGUAGAGGAGGUCCUUCCAAGACUUCUAGGACCUGGAUCAUGUAAGCAGUAGAUGAGAAAAUGAAGUAAGAGAUAUAGAGUAAUAACAAUAAAAGUCAAUGAUUUCAUUUUACAAAAAAGUCAUUGUGUAGUACUCAGAUAUUUUUAAGAGCAAGUAUUAUUAUGACUAAAGUAUAUUAUACUUCUAAAUUAUUAUGAUUCUCAUCUAAUUUCAAGCCACACAUAGGCGCCAUUUGAAAGCAUUUUGUGUUACAACCUAUCAACAAAAAUCAACUAAUAGUUUUAUAACGUGCAUAGGUUUACCCCAUGGGGAAUUAAAAUUUUUAUCUGCAAGUAUUUCUGUUGUUGUGAGACUUUAGGACAAGACAACAUUUGGUGUUAACAUAGAAGAAUAUUCUAUGGCUUUUUUAGCUUUAAAGUUCAUUACUCUAAAAUAAAGUACACGUGGUAUUUUUUUCUUCCUAGUGUUCUCUUAUUAUAUGUAGAGUAUUUUCGGUUGUUGUUUUUAACGUAUACAUUAUUUUUAUUAAGUCAUUUCAUAAAAGAUAAGAUAUAUACUAAUAGACCCUUGGUUUUCUCCUAAUUUAAUUAUUUCAAGUCAAGCAAAAUUGGGCAAUUUUCUUUCAGGAAAAAAAAAAUAUUGAGCAUGAUUUUGAGGUAAAACUGAUUAUUUACAGCAUCUUUUCUCUAAUAGGCUAACAUUUAUGAUGGAUCUUAUUUCAAAGUUGAUUAUUCUCAAAGAAAAGUGGAGAUAUUAGAAUUUCCGAGUAAAUUGCAUUGUUUUAAAAAGUACUUUAAUGCAUUGUUCACAUUGUUGCCAGCUAUUGACCAAAAAAGAGAAGAAGAAAAAAGAAAUAAAAAAAGCAGUAUCUGCUCCAAACGUCAAGUUUUGCAGUUUGAAAGACUUGUACAUUAUAAUUGUUUUUUUCUUUUUUGGAAAGCAGUAGUAAUUAAUACCAAAGGCAUAGACAAUUUAGGGCCAUAACCUCCCUUCCCCCCUCUCCACCUUUUUUUUUUUUUUUUUUUUUUUUUAACUUUAACCAUGAUAGGCAUCUCUGCAAGGUAGGUUUUAACAUAUUUUUUUCCUAAUUUUUUUCCCUCCAUUCAGUAAGAAGGAUAAGCUUUUAGAGUACCCAGUCACCGUGGUAACUGCCAAAAAAAUUCUCCUGAAGUUUGAAGAGGUCAGCUAGCAGGGUCAACAACCCUGGCCUCUCUCUGAGCUCGGUCUAGCAUGCCCCAGCCUGCGGUUGGAGUGUCAGGCCAGAUCUGACCCUGGGAGGUGGACCAUUCUGGCUCUGAUAUAAAUUUUUCGAGUCAGUUCAUGGCCUGGACUCUCCAGGUGGCCUCCAAAAUCGAUUUUGACCCCCUGACCCUGUCUCACGGAGGCAUAGCAUCCACCCUAAGUAAGGAUUUAGCCAGGAAUGACAGCUUUCCACUGAGUGUUAUUGGGGACAGUAUAAACAGUUUGGAAAGCAAGUAAGGAGGUGUGAGGGCUAGCAAUCAUUAAAAGCACAUUAAAAAACAAUUUUUAAAAAUCUUUAUUAGAGAAAGUUGUAAAUGCAUAUCUGUUACAGAAUUCCUGUGAUUUGUAGAGUUUUCUAGUCAGUUUUGAAUAUAAAUAGGUCACAUAUCUUUAUCUUUUUGCAUACUUUGUUACAAAUAUGCAAAUAAGAUAGGCAUACUUGCUACAAAAUAGGUACAGCAGGAAUGUAAUAUGUUCAGAAAAGGCAAACUGGUUAUUAAAACACAUUAACAGGUAAGGAGUUUCUAAUAUUUUAAAUACUAAAAUUUUACAUGUGUAUUUUGAAGUUUUUAAAAUGGAAAAAUAAAGAACCUUUAAAAAACCCAACAGUGUGGAAUAAAGAUAAACUUGUUGCACUCAAGGUACAUUUCUACUUUGUAAAGCAAGAAGCCAAUACACUCAGUUGGAUAAAAAUGAGAGAAAAAUUGUAAAUAUAGAGAGUUACAGCUUAUAGAGCUGAAGAGGAAUAAAACAAAAAAAAGUGUCUCUGAAUAACUUUAUGUAUUUUCAACAGUUUAAGAUAUCAGAAACUUGGAAAAUAAAUAUGAUAUAUAUAUAAAUCAUCAGUGAUUAUUUCCUUUUCAUUCCCCCCCGCCCCCAGGAUGCCACCGUGAGUGUUUGAUUUUCUCUAGGAAAGUAGAAUUCUCUUUGAGAGUUCUAGCCUGUGAACUCAGUAUGUAAAUGUGGCCAUCAAGAAGACAGAACUGCCAAGAGGAAAGAUUAUGAAUGUUUUUCUUCCUUAAAACCAUUCACAGUGUUUCUUCUUCCAGUGCUUUACUCAGACUUCUCCCCUUUUCCCAGCUCUGUUGAAAAUGGCUUCAAAAGCAACACUGCAGUGGCUAAACCAAUUGUACUGUGAAGUUGUUGAGAUGCCAUUUCAUCUGAAUCCUUCGUAAAAAUUAGAUUUUUAAGUAGGGGUGAAUAUCCUUUUGGGAGAGGGAAUGGGAGGGUAGAAGAAGGGGGGAAAGGACAGAGCA